RNAcentral lists this ribosomal RNA (406 nucleotides) under uncultured Cellulomonas sp. RNAcentral's name for it is "bacterial SSU rRNA". It matches the Rfam family "Bacterial small subunit ribosomal RNA", at positions 356 to 774 of the family's 1533-position model. Lineage: Bacteria; Bacillati; Actinomycetota; Actinomycetes; Micrococcales; Cellulomonadaceae. The record is from RNAcentral.
GGGGAAUAUUGCACAAUGGGGGAAAGCCUGAUGCAGCAACGCCGCGUGAGCGAUGAAGGCCUUCGGGUCGUAAAGCUCUGUCCUAUGGGAAGAAGCGAAAGUGACGGUACCUGCAGAAGAAGCGCCGGCUAACUACGUGCCAGCAGCCGCGGUAAUACGUAGGGCGCAAGCGUUGUCCGGAAUUAUUGGGCGUAAAGAGCUCGUAGGCGGUUAGUCGCGUCUGCUGUGAAAACUCGAGGCUCAACCUCGGGCUUGCAGUGGGUACGGGCUGACUAGAGUGCGGUAGGGGUGACUGGAAUUCCUGGUGUAGCGGUGGAAUGCGCAGAUAUCAGGAGGAACACCGAUGGCGAAGGCAGGUCACUGGGCCGCAACUGACGCUGAGGAGCGAAAGCAUGGGGAGCGAACA